RNAcentral lists this ribosomal RNA (1159 nucleotides) under uncultured fungus. Its description in RNAcentral is "eukaryotic LSU rRNA". The stretch from base 504 to 1159 matches the Rfam family "Eukaryotic large subunit ribosomal RNA", at positions 1 to 667 of the family's 3401-position model. The record is from RNAcentral. Lineage: Eukaryota; Fungi.
CUUGGUCAUUUAGAGGAAGUAAAAGUCGUAACAAGGUUUCCGUAGGUGAACCUGCGGAAGGAUCAUUAUUGAUGUUACCAUCAUAAACCACUGUGAACCACCGGGGAAACCCGCAUAUAUACACACCUUUAAAAGUCUAAGUCUAAUAAAGUUAUUAAAUCUUAACAACUUUCAACAACGGAUCUCUUGGCUCUCGCAUCGAUGAAGAACGCAGCGAAAUGCGAUAAGUAAUGUGAAUUGCAGAAUUCAGUGAAUCAUCGAAUCUUUGAACGCACCUUGCGCUCCUUGGUAUUCCGAGGAGCAUGCCUGUUUGAGUGUCUUGUUAAUCAUCAACCUUUGCUUCGCGGUGAAGGCUUGGAUUUGGGGCUGCCGGCGUUUGCGUCGGCUUCCCUUGAAUGCAUUAGUGUUGGCUCUUGCCGCCGUGGGUGUAAUAAUAUUUCACUCUGCGGUUGCUUAAGCGCGAUGCUUACAACCGUCCCCUCCGGGACAAUAACUUUGACCAUCGACCUCAAAUCAGGUAGGACUACCCGCUGAACUUAAGCAUAUCAAUAAGCGGAGGAAAAGAAACUAACAAGGAUUCCCCUAGUAACUGCGAGUGAAGCGGGAAGAGCUCAAAUUUAAAAUCUGGCGUCCUUCGGGCGUCCGAGUUGUAAUCUGGAGAAGCGUUUUCCGCGCCGGACCGUGUAAAAGUCUCCUGGAACGGAGCGUCAUAGAGGGUGAGAAUCCCGUCUUUGACACGGACUGCCGGUGCUUUGUGAUACGCUCUCAACGAGUCGAGUUGUUUGGGAAUGCAGCUCAAAAUGGGUGGUAAAUUCCAUCUAAAGCUAAAUAUUGGCGAGAGACCGAUAGCGCACAAGUACCGUGAGGGAAAGAUGAAAAGAACUUUGGAAAGAGAGUUAAACAGUACGUGAAAUUGUUGAAAGGGAAACGCUUGAAGUCAGUCGCGUUUGCCGGGAUUCAGCUCCGCUCUUGCGGGGUGUACUUUCCGGCCGACGGGUCAACGUCGGUUUCGAUCGGUGGAUAAAGGUGAGGGGAAUGUGGCACCUCCGGGUGUGUUAUAGCCUCUUGCCGGAUGCAUCGGACGGGACCGAGGACCGCAGCGCUUGCGCUAAGGAUGUUGGCAUAAUGGCUUUAAGCGACCCGUCUUGAAACACGGACC